RNAcentral lists this small nucleolar RNA (108 nucleotides) under Leptobrachium leishanense (Leishan spiny toad). RNAcentral describes it as "Small nucleolar RNA SNORD67 (ENSLLEG00000011196.1)". It matches the Rfam family "Small nucleolar RNA SNORD67". From Rfam's summary of the family: snoRNA HBII-166 belongs to the C/D family of snoRNAs. Lineage: Eukaryota; Metazoa; Chordata; Amphibia; Anura; Megophryidae. The record is from Rfam by way of RNAcentral.
CUGGAGGGUGAUGAGCUGCACCGCUAUGGGCUCAUGGUGCUGUGUACCAAUGGGUCCCACUGAAUCAGUGAUGCCAAGACUAUGUGCACAGGGGCCAGCUGACUCCAU